Molecule: RNase P RNA, 372 nt
Filed under: Amphritea balenae
Lineage: Bacteria; Pseudomonadati; Pseudomonadota; Gammaproteobacteria; Oceanospirillales; Oceanospirillaceae
Description: Bacterial RNase P class A
Rfam family: Bacterial RNase P class A
About the family: Ribonuclease P (RNase P) is a ubiquitous endoribonuclease, found in archaea, bacteria and eukarya as well as chloroplasts and mitochondria. Its best characterised activity is the generation of mature 5'-ends of tRNAs by cleaving the 5'-leader elements of precursor-tRNAs.
Source: Rfam by way of RNAcentral
AGAGUUCGCCAGACAAUCGCCGCCCUAAUCUCUUGAGUGCAGGGGGGAGGAAAGUCCGGGCUCCAGCAGGGCAGGGUGCCAGGUAACGCCUGGGGGGCGCAAGCCUACGGAAAGUGCAGCAGAGAGCAGACCGCCUAAGUUUUUUAUUUUCGGAUAGAAAACCGGUAAGGGUGAAAGGGUGCGGUAAGAGCGCACCGCGUGAGUGGCAACACUUCAUGGCAUGGUAAACCCCACCUGGAGCAAGACCAAAUAGGAAUCCAUUAAGGUGUGGCCCACACUGGAUUCGGGUAGGUCGCUUGAGAUCUGUGGCGACGCAGGUCCUAGAUGAAUGAUUGUCCACGACAAAACCCGGCUUAUCGGCGAGCUCUACAG